GCCUUCGUGGUGUAGUGGUCAGCACGCUGGAUCCGUAUGCGAGAGGUCCGUGGUUCGAUUCCUGGCAAAGGCG
Molecule: transfer RNA, 73 nt
Filed under: Stegodyphus mimosarum
Lineage: Eukaryota; Metazoa; Arthropoda; Arachnida; Araneae; Eresidae
Rfam family: tRNA
About the family: Transfer RNA (tRNA) molecules are approximately 80 nucleotides in length. Their secondary structure includes four short double-helical elements and three loops (D, anti-codon, and T loops). Further hydrogen bonds mediate the characteristic L-shaped molecular structure. tRNAs have two regions of fundamental functional importance: the anti-codon, which is responsible for specific mRNA codon recognition, and the 3' end, to which the tRNAs corresponding amino acid is attached (by aminoacyl-tRNA synthetases). tRNAs cope with the degeneracy of the genetic code in two manners: having more than one tRNA (with a specific anti-codon) for a particular amino acid; and 'wobble' base-pairing, i.e. permitting non-standard base-pairing at the 3rd anti-codon position.
Source: Rfam by way of RNAcentral